GGUGCCGUGGCCGAGGGGUUAGGCACAGGUCUGCAAAACCUGCUACACCGGUUCAAAUCCGGUCGGCACCUCCU
This 74-nucleotide transfer RNA is filed under the name Rhodothermaceae bacterium. Its description in RNAcentral is "tRNA-Cys". It matches the Rfam family "tRNA". Rfam says of the family: Transfer RNA (tRNA) molecules are approximately 80 nucleotides in length. Their secondary structure includes four short double-helical elements and three loops (D, anti-codon, and T loops). Lineage: Bacteria; Pseudomonadati; Rhodothermota; Rhodothermia; Rhodothermales; Rhodothermaceae. The record is from RNAcentral.